This 253-nucleotide ribosomal RNA is filed under the name uncultured bacterium. Its description in RNAcentral is "partial 16S ribosomal RNA". It matches the Rfam family "Bacterial small subunit ribosomal RNA", at positions 524 to 776 of the family's 1533-position model. The record is from RNAcentral.
UACGUAGGGUGCGAGCGUUGUCCGGAAUUAUUGGGCGUAAAGGGCUCGUAGGCGGUCUGUUGCGUCAGGAGUGAAAACUCGGGGCUUAACCCCGAGCCUGCUUCUGAUACGGGCAGACUAGAGGUAUGCAGGGGAGAACGGAAUUCCUGGUGUAGCGGUGAAAUGCGCAGAUAUCAGGAGGAACACCGGUGGCGAAGGCGGUUCUCUGGGCAUUACCUGACGUUGAGGAGCGAAAGCAUGGGGAGCGAACAGG